CUUAAUUGCCAUCAUUCAGUUGGGCACUUUAUAGAGACUGCCGGUGCAAACCGGAGGAAGGUGGGGAUGACGUCAAGUCCUCAUGGCCCUUAUGUCCAGGGCUACACACGUGCUACAAUGGCCGGUACAAAGGGGCGCAAGACCGCGAGGUGGAGCAAAUCCCAAAAACCGGUCUCAGUUCGGAUUGGAGUCUGCAACUCGACUCCAUGAAGUUGGAAUCGCUAGUAAUCGCGUAUCAGCAUGACGCGGUGAAUACGUUCCCGGGCCUU
RNAcentral lists this ribosomal RNA (269 nucleotides) under uncultured Desulfuromonas sp. RNAcentral describes it as "partial 16S ribosomal RNA". It matches the Rfam family "Bacterial small subunit ribosomal RNA", at positions 1110 to 1382 of the family's 1533-position model. The record is from RNAcentral. Lineage: Bacteria; Pseudomonadati; Thermodesulfobacteriota; Desulfuromonadia; Desulfuromonadales; Desulfuromonadaceae.